RNAcentral lists this long non-coding RNA (622 nucleotides) under Anser brachyrhynchus (Pink-footed goose). Its description in RNAcentral is "lncRNA (ENSABRG00000013971.1)". The record is from RNAcentral. Lineage: Eukaryota; Metazoa; Chordata; Aves; Anseriformes; Anatidae.
CUUUUUUUCAGAUCAUAAAUCAGUAGCAAAUGUGCAGAUUUGGACUGUCCAAAGUUUUACCUUGAGAAUAUUUUCUUGAAGCAUUCCAAAACACUGAAAUCCUAGGAUGGCAAGGAAAAAAAUCAAAUAAAAGAUUCACCCAUUACUGAUCUGCAGACAGCAGUGGUGAUUUUUCUGUGUUGCCACCCUUCAGAAGCUAAUGAGCAGGAGAGUUCGACCUCCAGUUCUGUUGCUGGGUUUAGCCCCCCUGCAGAAAGUAUUGGGAAGGAUAUGUAAACAGAGGCUCAAGACCUAUGUUUAUACAUAUUUAUAUAUGAAAGUGUGAAGAACAGAUAUACAAAAUUCCUCAGGACAGCAGUGAUGUGUCCUCAAGCACACCUGGUGUACAGGUGUACUCCCAGGCAUCUCAUUAAACCUCAGAUAAUUCACCUUUGCAAUACAUAAAUGGGAAUACAGUGUCUCUUAGUACAAUCUCUUUUUACGUGUUAGCUUAUUGUGUAGAAGAAAGAAUUAGUUUGUCAUCUUUCUUCAGUUUAGAGUUGGUGAGGAAAAAUGGCCUUUACUAUCUCAGUUGAUUUCAAUAGGCAUUGGGUCUACCUGUUAGAAAAAAAAAAUAAUAAAA